This 402-nucleotide ribosomal RNA is filed under the name Triticum aestivum (bread wheat). RNAcentral describes it as "partial small subunit ribosomal RNA". Lineage: Eukaryota; Viridiplantae; Streptophyta; Magnoliopsida; Poales; Poaceae. The record is from RNAcentral.
AUGGCGGAGAUGGGCCAUCGCCUGAGCAGCUGUGCCCGUCAGUUCUGCGUGCCGCUCAAGUUCCGUGCCGUGGUGGCAGAGUGGCACAUCGACGAUCUGAAUGUCGAGCCGGAUGAGGUCCUUGUCGUGAACGACAUGUUCAAUUUCAGGACCUUGAUGGAUGAGAGCGUCCUAACAGACAGCCCGAGCCCCAGGGAUGUUGUCCUCAGCAACAUCAGCAAGAUGAAGCCUGAGGUGUUCAUUCAGGGCAUCGUGAAUGGUUCAUAUGGCACCUUCUUCCUGUCGCGGUUCCGGGAGGCCCUCUUUUACCACUCUGCACUGUUCGAUAUGUUUGAUGCCAUGGCUGCUGCAGGGGUGGAAGGGACGGAUCCUCUUAGCACACUCAAUGUGGGUGUCGGAUGA